CUGCGGUUCGAGAAAAGUUCUUUUUCGUUUCUUUUCUUUGCUUUUCGCUAAGGUUUACAAGGCAUUGAAGGUUGCGAACGUGUCUCGCUACACCUCGCUCCUGAAUCCUGUUUACCCGACAGUAUAAGUAAAAGAAAACUUGAUGACUCCGGAUAACCAUUGCCGAGCGCUAAGGUCUUUGAGUACCGGCGCCGUAUCCAUCGAAAGCAUCUGCCUUAUCACGCUAUUUUGUGAGCCAUUGGCUUACAAAGGCUGUGACGGGUAACGGGGAAUCAGAGUUCGAUUCCGGAGAGGGAGCCCGAGAAACGGCUACCACAUCUAAGGAAGGCAGCAGGCGCGCAAAUUACCCACUCCUAGACCAGGGAGGUAGUGACAAAAAAUAACGAUGCGGGAUCUCAGUACGAGAUCUCGCGAUCGAAAUGAGCCUAGAGUAAAACUUUGAGGCGACGAUCAAUUGGAGGGCAAGUCUGGUGCCAGCAGCCGCGGUAAUUCCAGCUCCAAUAGCGUAUAUUAAAUUUGUUGCGGUUAAAAAGCUCGUGGUUGGAGUUCACAAUUCGGGUCGGGGCGGCCUCGAUGGUGUUGGAUGAAGUGAGCUUCGGGAAAGAAGGGCUAACGUUUGUUACUUUGUAACACUAGUUUUCUACCAUUGUAUCCAAUGCCCUUCCCACUCGCGUUCCUCGAGAGUAGUUCGCUACGUUCUCUUCGGUUAACGCUUCUUGUUGGUUGAGGUACGAUGCUGUAUGGGCUGAAAAGACGUUCGGCUCUCCCGUCCUUUUCUUCUUAGUCCUCACUCGAGUAACCAAGUCUGCCAUCCGACUUCGUUUUGUUAUUUUCCCGUUGAAUAUUGAACGGGGGAAAAAAAUUAGCUGUCUACCUCGCAGUUGAACAGUUUAAAGGCGUUGUACUUGGCUCUUAAUUGAGUCGGUACUGUACUCCCUGUUACUGUGGCGGUGUCAGUGCUCUCACAUUGAGAAAAUUAUUGUGCUCAAAGCGGGUACUUAAGGUGGAGGGGGGACCUGGUUCUCCUCUCGCCGAGCCCGAAUGGUGAUACAUUGAAUGAAGGAAUAAGACCUCGAUUCCUUCGUUAUUUCGGAGGUGAUAACAACCGAAAUGCGAGAAUUGUUUUAUGGUUUUUCUCGGUUUUUUUUCGUUUUCUUCGGAAUUCGAGGUAAUGAUUAAAAGGAACUGACGGGGGCUCAGGUACUGCAGCGCGAGAGGUGAAAUUCUAAGACCGUUGCAAGACCGCCUACUGCGAAAGCAUUUGCCAAGGAUGUUUUCAUUAAUCAUGAGCGAAAGUUAGAUGUUCGAAGGCGAUUAGAUACCGCCCUAGUUCUAACCAUAAACGAUGCUGACUAGCUAUCCGUCUGUGUCUGAAUUGUCGGGCCGGACUGGAGGCCCCCCGGGAAACCUCAAGUUUUUGAGCUCCGGGGGGAGUAUGGUUGCAAAACUGAAACUUAAAGGAAUUGACGGAAGGGCACCACAAGGAGUGGAGCUUGCGGCUUAAUUUGACUCAACACGGGAAAACUUACCAGGCCCAGACGCCGGAAGGAUUGACAGAUUAAAAGCUCUUUCUCGAUUCGGUGGGAGGUGGUGCAUGGCCGUUCCUAGUUGGUGGAGCGAUUUGUCAGGUUGAUUCCGGUAACGAACGAGAUUCUUACCUAUUAAUUAGAAACGACGACAAUCUAAGGUGUCGGUCGUUGCUCCGAGUUAAAAGAAGAGAAUGUCUGUCGAGCUAUGCUCUCUCUUUCUAGUAGUUUCUUUGUUGGAGCGAACGUUGGAGGACUGGCCGCGGACCUCUUCUUAAAACGUACGAGUCCCGGUACGUGGAGCGUCCUAGAAUCUUCUUAGAGGAAUCGGCGGUAAAACCCAGCCGUAAGAGAAAGAGCGAUAACAGGUCUGUGAUGCCCUUAGAUGCUCUGGGCUGCACGCGCGCUACAAUGAAGGGUUCAGCGCGCUUCCCUUCCGAGAGGAACGGGUAACCGUCUGAAACCCCUUCUUAAUUGGAAUUGGGGAUUGAAAUUGUUUCCCAUGAACGAGGAAUUCCUAGUAAGCGCGAGUCAAAAUCUCGCGCUGAUUACGUCCCUGCCCUUUGUACACACCGCCCGUCGCUACUACCAAUGGAAUGGUUAAGUGAGAAUAUUGGACUGGCACCUCGAGUGGUGGCCCAAUCGGGUCGUCACUCUCGACGGUUGACGGAAAGAUAUUCGAACUUGGUCAUUUAGAGGAAGUAAAAGUCG
This 2237-nucleotide ribosomal RNA is filed under the name Phyllodurus abdominalis. RNAcentral describes it as "partial 18S ribosomal RNA". It matches the Rfam family "Eukaryotic small subunit ribosomal RNA", at positions 174 to 1791 of the family's 1831-position model. Lineage: Eukaryota; Metazoa; Arthropoda; Malacostraca; Isopoda; Bopyridae. The record is from RNAcentral.